Molecule: ribosomal RNA, 909 nt
Filed under: Ceramothyrium linnaeae
Lineage: Eukaryota; Fungi; Ascomycota; Eurotiomycetes; Chaetothyriales; Chaetothyriaceae
Description: LSU rRNA
Rfam family: Eukaryotic large subunit ribosomal RNA
Source: RNAcentral
GCAUAUCAAUAAGCGGAGGAAAAGAAACCAACAGGGAUUGCCUCAGUAACGGCGAGUGAAGCGGCAACAGCUCAAAUUUGAAAUCUGGCGCUUUCAGCGUCCGAGUUGUAAUUUGUAGAGGAUGUUUCGGCCACGACCCCGGGUUAAAUUUCUUGGAACAGAAUGUCAUAGAGGGUGAGAACCCCGUCUUGACCCGGGCGUACGAGCCGUGUGGAACUCCUUCGACGAGUCGAGUUGUUUGGGAAUGCAGCUCAAAAUGGGUGGUAAAUUUCAUCUAAAGCUAAAUAUUGGCCAGAGACCGAUAGCGCACAAGUAGAGUGAUCGAAAGAUGAAAAGCACUUUGAAAAGAGAGUUAAACAGUAUGUGAAAUUGUUGAAAGGGAAGCGCUUACAACCAGACUUGAGCGCGACGGUUCCCCCUUGCUUCUGCCUGGGUUAUUCCGUCGUGUCCAGGCCAACAUCGGUUUCGGGGGUUGGUUAAAGGCUUAGGGAAUGUAUCUACCCCUCGGGGUCGACUUAUAGCCCUAGGUGUCAUGCAACCUCCCGGGACCGAGGAACGCGCUUCGGCUCGGAUGUUGGCGUAAUGGUUGUCAGCGACCCGUCUUGAAACACGGACCAAGGAGUCUAACAUCUAUGCGAGUGUUAGGGUGUCAAACCCUUACGCGGAAUGAAAGUGAACGGGGUAGGAAGCCUUAAGGCUGCACUAUCGACCGAUCCUGAAGUUUACGGAUGGAUUUGAGUAAGAGCAUAGCUGUUGGGACCCGAAAGAUGGUGAACUAUGCGUGAAUAGGGUGAAGCCAGAGGAAACUCUGGUGGAGGCUCGCAGCGGUUCUGACGUGCAAAUCGAUCGUCAAAUUUGCGUAUAGGGGCGAAAGACUAAUCGAACCAUCUGGUAGCUGGUUCCUGCCGA